AUCUCUGUCCUAAGAAGACAGUCUCCUGUGAUGGGCCUCAAGUGAUGAUCCAUGACUAAGGACGACUGCCUUCAAUUUCCCGUGCUAGGUGGUGGGUGGACAAUAACCUGGAGUAGCACGUGCAGUGGCGUGCGGUGCUCCGUAUGAGUCAGAACAUCGAAACCCAAAUUCCAGAAGAGGUAUUGAGGGGGUGGAAGGAUGGCAAGACCAAAAUAAUGACCAAUUCUCUUGAGAUACCAGCAUCUUGGCAGCAGGAUUUCAUUAUUACAUGGACCCCUAUUUCUUUUUGUAAAGGUAGUGGGACAAAGGGGGACAGAGGGCAGGGGAAAUAGCCCAUUUUUCCUUUAGGGAGGUGGUUUCUUGUUGAGCUGUCUGACUCCAAAAGUCAACUGUCCAGGGCUGCAAAGAACUGAGGCGAACCCCCAGAGAGGAAGCCCCUCUGAUAAAGGCAGUGUGAGUUCUCUUCCUCUGUUACCCCCCCCGGGGGGCAGGGGAGGGCAAGGAACUGGAUGAUGUGGGGUGGGGAGUCCUUAACCCAUUACUCUUGUGUAAUUUGCAACCUCUCAGAGUGGUUACAAAUGGAGAUGGAAACCACACUCCUGGAGCCUCUGGGCCCGUGGGUGGUAACUGUGGGUUGCUGAAGUAUAACAGUCUCCUUGAUGAACUGCCAAUCUGUGAGCUCAUUAUUACCACACAAAUGCAAGAUCGGAAUUCCAUUGAAAUUGGUUCACUCCACUACAGGGGAGGAAAGGAGAGGGGGUCAACUCAAGUAAAGCAGUCACUGGAGCACGGUUGGCCCAUUAAUUAUGAGGUGGAUAAAGACGUCUGGGGCCAAACCCCCUCCCCACGCUUCCCUGGUUAUGUUAGGAGCCUGUGGGCUGACCUAGAGAAGCCUAGCCACAGACUGGAUCGUUGGGGAUCUGUUGAACAGAGCUUGGGCCUCCGUUACCGGUGACAGGGUAAAAAACCAGUCCAGACUGAGAGGGGAAAAGUCAGCUCUCUACCCUGUCAUUCAUCAGACUGCCGGAGCAGACACUGAUAAAGCUGCAAAGGUAACAGGAAGCCAUCAGCCUACAGUAUCAUAAUCAGUCUUUUCUUUGAGUGACUACUGCUUUCUUUUCAGUGACAGCCCCAGCUUUGCUUUUUACUCCUGCCACCUGAACCAAAUCACUGUCAAGCUUUGUGACUAAAAUCUUGGGCUGUCAAAACUUUGCAGUUUGCAAUCCUAUCAGUAAGAACGAAACUUUCCACUCUUGCCUGGAAGACCUGAGCCGUAUGAGUCACUUUGACACAGAGAAGCGGUUUCAAUUUCUACCCUAGAUUUAGAAAUCCUGAUAAGGACUUUCUGCCACAACAGGCCAUGCUUUUCUUAACUUUGCAGUUCUCCAAAGAAUAAGGACCUGGGUCCACUUCCCAGUCCAGGCUUGAUCUUGACCCCUU
Callorhinus ursinus (northern fur seal) is the source of this 1440-nucleotide non-coding RNA. The record is from RefSeq and is a predicted model, not a curated record. NCBI's taxonomy places the organism in Eukaryota, Metazoa, Chordata, Mammalia, Carnivora, Otariidae.